UCUCCGACCCCGACGGGCAGCCUAGUACCCGCAAGCGGCUUUCUUCCAACGGACGCCCCCAGAGGAUCCACACACAUCUAGGGCAGGAGCGAGAACACAACAGAGGAGCGACGGUGGAAACAGGAGACUGGUGUCCUGGGACCACACUUUGGAAAAGACAGAUGGAUGGAUGAUAGAAUGCACGCAUCAAUGGAUCACUACAGAAGUCUAGAAGCCAGGAAGCUGUGCGAUCCCCAGCCUGUCAAGAGGAAAUUGAGAUUCAGAACGUGCACAUCAGUUCUUCAGGACUGUCCAGCUGCAGGACAGACGCAGGUUUCGUGGAGCCUGAAACUUACACAGUCUGAGGAUGCCCGCUCUAAGGAAAAGAAUACAAAACCCCAAAUAUAAAUUUAGGCAUGUAAGUGAAUAUUUGUUUAGAAUAAGGAAAGAAAUUGCAAUGUUACAAAUGUA
RNAcentral lists this long non-coding RNA (450 nucleotides) under Equus caballus (horse). Its description in RNAcentral is "lncRNA (ENSECAG00000047583.1)". Lineage: Eukaryota; Metazoa; Chordata; Mammalia; Perissodactyla; Equidae. The record is from RNAcentral.